RNAcentral lists this ribosomal RNA (253 nucleotides) under uncultured bacterium. Its description in RNAcentral is "partial 16S ribosomal RNA". It matches the Rfam family "Bacterial small subunit ribosomal RNA", at positions 524 to 776 of the family's 1533-position model. The record is from RNAcentral.
UACGUAGGGGGCUAGCGUUGUCCGGAAUCAUUGGGCGUAAAGCGCGUGUAGGCGGUCCGGUAAGUCCGCUGUGAAAGUCGGGGGCUCAACCCUCGAAUGCCGGUGGAUACUGUCGGGCUAGAGUGCGGAAGAGGCGAGUGGAAUUCCUGGUGUAGCGGUGAAAUGCGCAGAUAUCAGGAGGAACACCAAUUGCGAAGGCAGCUCGCUGGGACGGUACUGACGCUGAGACGCGAAAGCGUGGGGAGCGAACAGG